This 491-nucleotide ribosomal RNA is filed under the name uncultured bacterium. RNAcentral's name for it is "partial 16S ribosomal RNA". It matches the Rfam family "Bacterial small subunit ribosomal RNA", at positions 28 to 507 of the family's 1533-position model. The record is from RNAcentral.
GAUGAACGCUAGCGACAGGCUUAACACAUGCAAGUCGAGGGGCAGCAUGAACUUAGCUUGCUAAGUUUGAUGGCGACCGGCGCACGGGUGAGUAACGCGUAUGCAACUUGCCUAUCAGAGGAGAAUAGCUCAUCGAAAGAUGAAUUAAUGCUCCAUGAAACAGGGGUCCCGCAUGGGAAUAUUUGUUAAAGAUUCAUCGCUGAUAGAUAGGCAUGCGUUCCAUUAGGCAGUUGGCGGGGUAACGGCCCACCAAACCGACGAUGGAUAGGGGUUCUGAGAGGAAGGUCCCCCACAUUGGUACUGAGACACGGACCAAACUCCUACGGGAGGUAGCAGUGAGGAAUAUUGGUCAAUGGCCGAGAGGCUGAACCAGCCAAGUCGCGUGAAGGAAGAAGGAUCUAUGGUUUGUAAACUUCUUUUAUACGGGAAUAAAGUGUGGAAUGCGUUCCAUUUUGUAUGUACCGUAUGAAUAAGCAUCGGCUAACUCCGUG